GGGCGGUGGCCGCGGCCCUCACGGAGCGGUGGCUCCGGGAGCGCCCCCCAGUGGCGGGGCGCGGCCGCGCCCCCCCGCGCCCGAACAAAGGCGGCGGCGUCAGUGUCGCGCCCUGUCGCGAUAGCGGGGCGGGACGGCUGCGAUAGUCCCCAGGGGCAAGAACGGGCCCUUGUGGGGAAAAAAAAGCUCGUCAGUGCGGUAGCUAUUGAGCGAUACUGCAUUCGCCGGGCUUGGAAAGCUCGGAGGCCAACGAUUUCCUUCUGGAAGUUCAGGAAUUCUGAGAUGUGCGUGAUGUUUCACGUUGCGCGUUCUGUAUUUUAUUGUACAGUACGCUUGUGGUAGAACAAACUAUUAUCAAAUAGAAGCUUUAUUUUUAUAAGUUUCCUAGAGCUUUUGGAUUGUUUGCACUCAGUCGAAGGCAACCAGAAACCCCUUUUUCUGAGGGAGAUCUUUGCCGUGUAACAUCUAUCCUGUCAGCAGCUACUCACCCAGAAUACCAAAUCCUCAGCUUUAUGCAUAGUAGGAUGCUAAAGAUUUUCAAUUGAACGUAAUUUUGCAUGUGACUUUGUUUAAUUUUGCUUUAAUAACACCAGCGAGAUGAUAUUUGGAAAUUCCAUGUGUCUCAACAAGCCAAAUUGCUAGACAAAUUGAUUUUACUCGAAUUUGAUAACAAGGAAUUGCCUCUGAAGCUGAAAUUUUGCCUACCCAGUUGCCAAACCAGGUUAACAUACAGGUAAAUUAUAAAUGUCUAAAAUAUUUAAUUCAAACCAGAAUGGACUGUCAGCAGCAUUGUGAGCAGUAGCACUGUGAUAUUACUAAUAUGUGUAUAUUGCUUUCUAGUGCACCAGGUUGCUCUGUAGGUUUAUGGAAACAGCUAAUCCAGUCCUCUUGGAAGGUUGGAUGUUGCUAGAUUGGAAGAUGCUGACUUCAGUCUUUAUGGCAACAAGAAUUUUCCAUAGCCUUGGCAAUGGCUGGUGAAUCCUUAGUGUGGUUGAAAACAGGACACAGAAAAGCUCCUGUUUUCAUCCUUUCCCUAGACUCCGGCAGGUGAUCUGCUGACAAGCCAUGGCUACAUCUGAAAGGACAAUUUUAUUAAUUUUUUUCCAGAAUUCAUUUAUCUGAGACUUAUUUCUUCUGUUCUUCUGGUUACAAUUGCAAAAAUUAAAUGAAAAAAUAAUCACUAUUUCCACUUCAAUUACAGCUGGGUUUGUUAUUUCUUCCGCAUUUUAGUGGUUUUACAUUGUAGGCCUUUGAUUCAAUAGAACAAAAUAUUGUCUUCAAAAAUAAGGAAGUUGAGUGAUCAAACCAUGGUCAGAUCAUGAUAGGAUGCUUCAAGAAUAAGUUUACUAUGUUAAAUGUGCCUUUUGGUUUUGGGGUUUUUUUGUUUAUUUGUUUGAUUUGGUUUGGGUUGUUUUUGUUUUGGAAACCAAAAAUGGCAACUGUCUCCCACUAAAUGUAAUUGGGGUAAUUUAGUAUAUUUUGUAUAGUACGUUCAGACUUCAAUUUAGAAACUAUUUAGGUUAAUUUCAAUAUUGGCUUUACUUUUGAAGUUAAUGUUGCCACUUCAGCCUGGACCCUCACCAGAACAUGAAAAAUCUCAGGUAAUAAACCUUUGUUGUUUUCUACUUAGUUAUCAAAGGAUGGGAAUGAUGAAAUCAGUUGUUAAAGAUGUAAAAAAUUCAGUCAGUCAUAGGUUACUCAACGUGUCUAUGUUGCUUUUGUGACUUCUGGAGAUUUUUUUUUUCUGGUACUAUUAGACAAAAAGAUUUUCAGUAUGCACCAAGCCAUAGAUAAGUUUCAGUGUGCAUUGGCAAGAAUCAGUAGUUUUAAAUUCCCAAAGUAGUCUUCCUAAAUUGUUAGCGUUAUAAAAAAAAUAAUUGCUUUUUGCAGAUUUUGUAGAUGUUCCCACUUUUUACAUUUUCAGCAUCCAUAUAUGCUAUGACAACACAGCUCUAAUAUUGUAAACAUUUUUGGUCAUCCAGUUUUUACUAAAAAUUUGUAGUUAGUAAAAUAUUAAUGUACUGAGUGGUUUUGUACAAGCUGUAUCUUGUAAGAAGCAAAAGGUGACUUGAGCUGUGUGUAGAAGCUGCUACACUGUGAUUCCUGGGGUUUUGUGUGAGCCCAGACCCCUGGCCAUGGCUACAGGGUCAGAAUCCAGCCCUGAGCCUCCCUCUUCCAAACCACCCCUGCAACAAAACCUUUCUAUUGAAAUGAAGCCAAAUCCAGCUUAAGCUGAAAAAGAUACAGCUCUAGCCGAGCAAAUGGUGUUCUGUGCCCACUCUGACUUUAUUUGCAAAUCUGAUUUACAGGUUGUGGCAGUGGGUUAUGUGGAGAGCUGCAAACAUACAACUACAAUUGAAAAGUCCAUCACCUGCUUGACAGUUCUACUCUGCCAUGCAGGCGUAGGGGUUUUAUUUCUGACUUUUAUUCUGCAGUGCUUUUACAGAGCCCCAGCAUCAGCAGCUGUGGCACAGACAUCUGGGAGUGUUCCUGUGCCAGUGGCAAAGCCGAGUUGUCGUGCAUGUUCUGGCUCUUUAGCAUGCCUGCUAGGCUCUAAGGCACCCUCAUGCCACAGUUUUAAAGCACAUCAUGACUUGUGCUAUGUCUUACAUAAAACUUGUGUUGGAAUUCUAAACUGGAAAUACUGUGCCCAAAUCCUUACCAUCAGAUCUGACAGUCUUAGGAGCCCAGCAGUAUCAGUGAGUAGAGGUGAAGUAUGAGGAAGCAGAGAGUCUUACAUGGAAGGAGACAGAGGAAAUCAUCAGGUCUAAUGACCCUGAUCUUUCAUUUAUGCUGGUGGUUUAUAUUCUGUGCAGGGCAAGGAGUUGCUCUGUAGCUGUUACUUUCGCUACUGGGAAGAAAUGAUGUGCAAAGAGGUAACAGGUUUCACAUUGCAAACAGCAACACUCCUCUGUUGGCAUGGUCAGUCUGAGAAUUUGUUUCCUUUGUGUGCUGGGUGAGUAAAUACCUUCCUGUGGUACCUGUGAGAGGAUCGGUCCCUUCCCUCUGUGCAGGAGCAGGAUUAAGCACCAGCCACUGUGCCUUGCCUGAGGUGUUGGCAAGUGGACCCAAGCCAUCAAGGUGUGACCACCUCUGGAUGAUGUCACAAGUUGGUUUUGACUGACAGUCACAAACCCAAAGCUGGAUAUCAUAAGUGACUAUGCUUAGGAAGAAAAUAAAAUAUGUUUCCCGCCAAAGGCUUAUUAAUUUAUCAAAAAUGUGCGUAUUCUUAGUAGCAGAUGGUCAAUAAUAGAUGAUAGAUGGCCUCCUCUGUGUAAAUGAAUGGCUGUAAUUCACUUGAGGGGAUCUGCUGAUGUCAUAAGCUGCCAGAGUGCAGCUUGAGUGAUUUAUUAACAGCUGCAGAAAUCCUAGGCUGAAUUACAUCCUUGUAUUCACUCAGGGUCUGCAGAUUUUUAUUUAUAAAAUGUGUAGGUUUGAAUUUCUUGAUGAUUAUAGGGAUCUCUUCUAUGACUCUGAUACAGGGGCAUAGUGAAGAAAUGCUGACUAUAAAGGCUCAGGUAUCUGCCUAUGAUUAAAGGCAGAUUUUCUUCACUGAUGCAUAUCAACAUCAUCACUUUUCUCUGUUUUUGAAAUCACCUAAUCAGUAUCUGUGGAGGUAUACAUAAGUCCUGUUUUGGUUUUUUUUUUUGCCCCCUACCAUUAAAUACAAAUGAUGUCAUUAUCUUCAGGUACAGGAACCUCUGUCACUCAGUGUUGUAGCCACAGCCUCUGCGCACCUUGGGCUGUGUCCAGCACAAAAAGCUGGGAGAGAGUUGAGAGCAAAAUGGAGUUUAGCUGUAAGUGGUUAUUAUCUCUAGUAAUGACUGGAUUUUGCUGUUUAGAAAGAAUUCAAGAGACAUAUAAGGCUAGAAAAGGUGCCUGGAAACCAAAAGUAUUUGUGUACAGGGAGGAGACUCUCCCUGUUCAGGGAGAAAGCCUUCCUUUCUUCCAUAAAAUUCUUGAGUGGUGAAAAUAAAAAUGUUCUGAAUAUGUAUCCUAGAUUUGUCACACCCUUCUAACAUAUGAAAGCAACUGAAACAAUAUUAAUUUCAAUUCCUCCUUCUGCCUCCCCAAAAAAUUGGAGCUGAUUAGGAUGAUAUUAAAUCCUGUUUCUCAAACAAGGGAUGCAUUUCCAAAAUGUAAUUCGAGUUGUAGAGGAAGAGGAAAAGGGAGAUGAGAAUAAAUUAUGAAGAAUUGCAUGGCAGGAAGGAACAGUCAGAAUUCAUUUGCAAAUAACUAUGCACAUUAUGUUUGCUAAAGAUGCAGAAUUUCUUGAGAGUACUCACAGCAAAUGUUUGGAUGACAGUUAGAACCCAGUGAAACUUCCAGUUUUCUCUCUUUUCUCUGAGAUUAGCUUUGUUUGUUGAUAGUUUAGAUUUCACCAGUCCUUGGAAUGGUGCUGCAGGUAUUGUCCUCAGCAAGGAAUUCUGAUUUGCUGUUGAACAAAUACUGCUUUGCUCCUCCUUUUCUUCACCAGUGUCUGUCUGUCUGACCUGUCUCUUGUGUAAGAGGUAUGAAUAGAAGGAUGGUGGUAUUUGUACAGAAAACAAAGGUUAGAACUUGAAGAAAAACAGGCUCCAGGUAUUGUUCACAGCCUUGAGGCAAAGCUCUUUCAAUUCAUGAUGAGUUUACUAAUUUCAGUAAGCCUGUUAUUGCUCUUAGAGUGUCAUGGACAAAAUCCAAUCACAUCAGGGACCCACAAUGUUAGAUAUUAUAGAAAUGCACAGAAAGGUAUCAAAAAGGUAUUUUAAAUAAAGUUGUGGGGUUUUUUUGUUUUGCUUUGUUUUUCCUGGAACUAAAUGCUCACUUCUGGAUGCUUUGAAAAUUGCUUAUGGUUUUGUAGUAGCAUAUCUCUGGAAACUUGACUCUCCUAGCUCACCUUCAACUUCAUAGGAACUGUACAUACAGCAGGUGACCAGCUGGACCACGGCCGGCCCAUGACUUGCACCUUCCAGGGUAGUUGUGAAAGUGUCUUCCAUUUCCUCUUGAAUUGUACCUGAAUCCAUCCCCUUCCUUUUCAAACUCAACUCAGGCUGGCUGGAGUUGCUUUUCCUUGUUUCUAUGUGUCUUUGCUUUGCUUGCUUACUUUGGAUGCAGUUUGUAUGAAGGCUGCUAUGCAAAAAUAUUUAGAGCUUGGCAGGUAUUUCCCUUAAGCUGUAUUGAUCUCUGUGAUUUCAUGCUUUGGAGGGAGAAAUUGUUACUGUCUUCCCAAAGCUCCGUUGUUACUCAGAAAUUCAUUGUAUUGGUGUGAGUUUUUCAUUUUCUUUUGCCAUACCAACAAGGAAGGCUGCUAAUUCUGUAUUUCUCUUUAUAACCAGCCUUUUCCUCCCUGCACAGACAGGCAAAUCAAGAACGUGCAAGACGACAGAGUCCCAAGAAUACAGAGUGUUUCUCCCCAUUCCUGGUUAUUCUGCAAGUUCUGAGACAAUUUUUUUCCACAAACAGCAGCAAGAUGCCUGGUGCUCUCAGUCCCCUGGGUCCUCUAAAAUAGAGAUGAAGCAGAGGUAGUUGUUACAGCUGAUGUAAUCCUGAGUGGCCACCAGAAGAAACAAUGAACUGCUUACUAUCUCUCAUGGUAAAUAGCAGUUAACCAGGUUCUCCUAUGCAGACUCUUUGGGCUGACUGGACCACACCUGUUAGAAGGGAGGAAGGAAUUUCAUUCACCCAUUACAGAUUGCUGAGUCCAGAGAGAUGGUAUUUGCAGUUGUUAGUGAACAGUCUCCAGCCAUGUGAACAGCAGUGGGAACCUCUGUGUCAAGUGAUAGAGCAAAACCAUGGAUUUCACCUUGCAACCUUUGUUCUUGUAAAAACCUUGGGGGGGUGCUUUUCUUUUCUUGGAGGGAGUUGUUUUGGUUUUGAGGGUUUUUUUUUUGUUUGUUUGUGUGGUUUGUCUUUAAAUGUACAGGAUCAUGGACUAUUUCUGAUGGAUACUGAUCUGAUUCCAUCUGAGUAUGCUGGUCAAAGUGUUAUUUGUCCAUCUAUAUUUAUCUACAUUGCUUGUACUAAUACACACCUGGAAAAAGCAGUGUCUGUUUCUAAAGUGUUCGGAGCAGAAAAAGGGCAAAAAGGAUCCAGAAAUGUGCUUCUUUCAUGUUCUUGUUGCAGAUUUUCAUGCACUGACACUGUUCUGCCAUUAUCUAAUUAUGGAAUCUAACAGUAAUUUAUUCUCAUCAUUGCUUUUGGAUUUGUUGGAGAGAGAUGUGGGUAUUCAUCUUUCUCCCUCUCCUACCAGAGCCUCAGGCCUUUGGCUUUUCCUGGUGGAGGAUGGUUCUCAAGAGUUUUUUUUAGCUGGGUUUUGUUUCGUUGUUUUUUUUUAAUUCAUGGGAUGCUCAGUGCUUUUAUGUUCCAUCAGCACUAAAGAGUUACCUCACAGAGAGCACUGGAUGCACAUGCAAAUCAUGUAUCCCUUCUGACAUAAACCACACAGGCACUUUGCCAAGAGUAAAUCCCAUGAGAAGGACAGUAAAUCAAGCAUGAUGUUCUCUUUUUCCCUAUGGAUACCUCAAGCCUCAGCUAUUGUUUCCAGAGAGGCUGCCUUACCCAGCAAUGGUGCAGUAACAUGGAUAAUUUGUGCACUUGUAAUUUUGACUUCAUAUCCCAGGGCUGGCACAAGAAUUUCUCUCCUUGGAAAAAAAAAAAAAAAAAAAAAGGAAAAGGGAAAAUAAAAGGAAAAAAUAGAGUAUUUCUGUCAAGUGGCAAAAAAUGAGUUGAGUGCAUCUCUGCAGCAUUUCCAUUGAACAAAAUGGAGUUUACUUGUUCACUGUUUGCUCAGAAAGGGAAAUAAUGUCUUCUACCAUGUGAUUACACAUUUUGGAAGAAUGUAAGAGGUUAAUUUAGGGGAUGGCAGGAAGGGGACUUAAAAAAAUUCUGUCCUUUUUUGCUUCAUUUAUGUAUUUUGGGUAAGAAUAAAAAAUCUGAGCUGAAGUAAAUUUGGACCAGAUCAUCUAUCAACACCUGCAAUAGUGGAAAAUGUCUUAGGAUUUAAUAUAUGUAACUGCUGAGCAUAUUUUUUUCUUGCAUGUCUCUUACAUUGGAGGCUUGCAACUUAUGGAGGCAGGUUUGAGAGCAAUUUGGAAUGAAGCCAGAAAAAAUCUCUUUUAAAGCCAGCCAAUUUUUGUUAGACAUUUGGAUACAGUACCACCUAUCAGUUAUGUGGGAGAAGCCACUUUGGUUUUAUUUGAUGUUGAAAGACAUACAGGAGUCUUGGUGUUCCUCUGGUGAUUCAACUCUUGGGUGCAAUGUAUCUGCUUUGCUGUAUCGCCCUUACAAUUCUGCAGAUGGGAGUGUCACACUAUUUUACAUGUUGUUGGCCCUGAAACUAUUUGAUCAGCCUCAGGAGAGGUUCAUGAAGGUCCAAGGCAAUUUCACUCUGUAGAGGUGGAAUUGUCAAUGACUUUCCCUUUGCUUUUUCAAAAUCAUUAUCCAUUUAAGGUGCCAAGCUUAGGCUGAUGGAGAGAGAUUGUUGCUCUGCUCUUUUGGCAAUCAGAGAUCACUGUAAAAUGUCACAAAGUGGGCACCUAUGUCUCUGUCUGCUUUUCAAAAUUUUGGUCAUAAUGGACAGUUGCCUACUUUGUUCAUGUAAUAUUGAAUUCUGCUAACGUCUCUGUGAUAAAUAAUUUGUUUACUCAGAGUGAAAGAAAAAUUGAUAAUUUGUCUGUGCUUACUUUUUAGGCUUUCCCUCAGUGUGCUUGUGAUAAGUAUGUGUAUCUCAGUGCAAUGGAAUUACAGAUUUGAUAAGAUGUCUUCCCUAAGUAUGAUAGAAAGUCUUGCUGGACUCCAAAGAGCAGUGCAGUAAAUCUGCCUCAGUUAUUAUCACUUUAGGAACUGUCAUAAUUGACCUGCUUCCUUGUGGCUGUAAAGCACAUUGAAAUAUGUUACUGUAAAAAGCCUUUUCACUCUCCUCUUAGCUCUGUCUGGGACUAAAGCAUGGAAAAAAAAUAAAAAAUUGGUUACUGCCAUGGAUGUACAUGGAGGAGGCCUAAUGCCUCUGUUCUAAGGUAUGGAAAGACUGUGUUAUUCCUGGAAGCAGAAUGGAAGGCAAGAGAUGGAAAUUUUUUCUGUACUCAUUUUUUCAUACAGGCAAGUGAGAAAUUACCCACACAUCUGGACUGGGCUUUACCUUGGCAACAAGGGAUUUUUUGGCUUGACAGGGUUUGGUUGUUUUCUGGUUUGUUUUUUUUUUUUUCUCCUUUAUGGACUCCAUCCUGAUGACUUUGGCAUUUGUGUGAAACCACAGUGGUAGAUGCAAGAGGCAGGAUUGCAAGCUCUGAAGUUGGUGAGUGGGCUGGUACUUUGAAAUCACAGAAGGGUAGAAUCAGAAAAGAAGGGAUGUAAUGUGUUCUAGACAUUCCUGCCUAUUCUUCUGACUUUGUUUUUCUGCAGACAGCACCUUCCUCUUGGUCAGUCUCAGAAGCUGUCUGUCUGCUUUUCUUCUCAGUUGUAACAUUUCACUAGCAGUUUGCAGAGGGAACAUAAUGGAAACACAAAAUCCUUUGCUGGAAAUGGUGCUAUUAGAGGGUGGGGAAAGGCUGGGAUGACAGAUUCCUCAAUGCAGUUCUAGUUUUGCAUGUGAAACAUUUCACUAAUCUCCUGUCUCCCUCUGUUAUUUCAUUGUCUUUCUAAUCUUCUUUCUUACACCCUAUCAGUAAGUUAAUGAAGUCUACCCCAAAGGUUUGCUGUAUGACUUAAGGGUUUUUGAAAAGUGCAUUGCAGUGAAGUAAAAGAUCCUCCUGAAAUUCAGCCUUUCACAUCUUCCUCAUUUCCCUUUAUUUAGAGGAAAAAUGAACUUGUAUCCAGCUUUCUAGAUCAACUAGAAAAAAAAGUUAAUUUUGAUUUGCUGUAACUUUCUGACAUUCCUUCUCAGCCUUCAGACAGAAGUAACCAUGGUCAUGGCAGUGCAGUCAUAGGUCUUGCAAGACAAAGGCUGAUUGGCAGUUUUGGCUUUCUUGAAAUUUCUGUGGGUUUUGAAGACCUGGAUCAGCUUUCUAGGAGGGUGUAGUUUCACCAGCAGCAGCAAGGAGGGCCCAGUGUGGAGAUACUGCUUUAAUGAAGUGUUGACAAAGAUGGAGCCUGUGCUCCAAGACUGAGGGCAUGUCUGGCUCACACGGUUCAGGGUGCUGAGUCUGUAGCUGAAGGCCAGUAACGUAAAUGCCAAACCCAUUUAUUUCUUUGAAGAAUUCCAAGAUGCCUCUGAUGGGAGGUAGAGAUAACAGGGAAAUCUGGCCAGUGACACACCAGGAUAAAAAGAGUUUUCCUAUUACUGUUAGAGUUAGUGAGAACAUGGAUGGAGUGAUCAGAGAAGAUGCUUGCACACAUAUCUACAUAAAACAAAUCGGUUUUGCUUCUCCUGCUUUGCUGUCCAUUCUCAUUCCCAUUAUCUGAAUGCAAAAGAAUGUCUGAUGAUAGGGGAAUUUUUUCUUGAUUCUUUAAUAUUGAUGGGAACCCCCUUUUUGUUUUAAGGAGCUCUGGCUUUUCUAGUCAGUGUUUUUCACACAAAGGUGAACAUGAUGUGCCGUCAUGUCAGAAAGCUGCUUCCAGCAUGAGAGGUCAUAUCUGCCUGACCUGCCAUGAGCAGAGAGAGGCUGUUCUCCCUCUCAGGGACUCAGAGCCCAGUUUAUCAAUACAGCCUUUUUCACAUCCCAGCUACUCUGGAAAAAUAGCUACUUGCUGGCAGCUAAUAAAUGAUUAGUACCAAGAAAAGGCUGCUAGGUUCAAAUGGCAUGACAUGGUGACAUGGCAGGGGGAUGGUAGGCAACAGCUGUCUACGUGGCUGCAGGAUGCAGUGAUUUUUCAGGGAAAGCUGAAGUCAGUGGGAAGGCCUUGGUUUCACUGAGGAACCUUGAGGGUAAGAGCAAUGUCCUAUUAAAUGUCAAAGUAGUCUGAUAGACUCUGUCUUAUGAACAGAAUUCCAGGCUUGAGAUCAGGCAUUAAGGACUGCCUUGUGUUCCUGUGCAUAAAGGGCACUGUGUGUAAGGCCCAGCUGCCAAAGAUGUUGCUGCAUGUGCAGUGUUGUGCUGAAUGCAGAGAUUACUGCACCUUCACAGCAAACCCUGAAGGUUUUCCUCAGCUGCCUCAAGAAAUACAGCAACUUUAUUCUUUGCUUUGAAAUAGCUUCUGUGCUGAAACUAAGAAGUACAGAAAAAUAACCUUCCUUUUUCCAGCCCAGCUUUUCUUUUGGUAGUGAGCUCCUCUCCUCAAGAAAGCCUUAGACCUGGUAUGUAAGAGCAAUGUCUUUAAAGGACUCCAUGAUUGAAAUCAGAACUUGUUCUUUGUUAUAGCUCCCAAAAAGGUCUUGGUCUUCUUUUUAUUAUUGUUAAAUAAUAUAAAUUCACUUUAACUUUUUAAUACUAACACCUAACAUCUGAUACAGGUAUAGUUUUGGUUUCUGCUAUCCUUUUUUUGUCCAGGAAGCAUAGAUACACAGACCAGAUCAAUGUUUUCAAUUAUGUUUUGUUUGUUUUUGUUUUUUUUUUAAUAUUAAAAUAAUCUCCAGGAUUCUAGCUUGCAAGAUCCUACCCUGCCUCAGCUUCUCUGUGAGGCUACAGUCUGUGUAUGAUCCCUGGUCUACCAGUCCUAUUAUAUGCCAUAAUAACCAUUAGACUGUUCUCUAGGCUUUUAUCCUUUUCAUCCAGUAUCCAUCCAUUAGCUGUAGCAGGCAGAGCUUGUAGGACAGGGUUGGCCAGCCUCAGCAUCCUUGCCCCAAAGAGGCCACUUCCCUGUGAAGCCCCCUCCCCCAGGCAUUGUGUCAGAGCUGCUCUGACCAUCUGGCCGUGCUCGGGUUGGGCAGUGGACACCCCUCGUGAGGCUGCUGCAUCUUUGAACCUGAACUCUUUGUGUGGAUUUGAGGCCAUACCUUCUGCAUUCACACAGAAAUGCAGACACUUUUGCAUCAUCUUCCAACUGCUUUGUGUUGGGGAUGGAAUUUUAGGUUACACAUUUGACAAGCAAGCAGCAGUAAUCUAGUUACAGUCCCUGUUAAGCUUUUAAAAGCCAAAUGGCCCCUCCUAACUGAGAAGUCAUCAGUGUAGAAGCCAGAUAUUUGUUACUUAAGCUAGACAUAAAAAAAAAGAAAAAAAAAAUCCAAAACCUCUCUUGGCUGUUCAUUUUUUCCUCAUAUGCUUGUUUACUCAAGGCAGAAAAAUGUGUUUGGUUAAAAUACUAGUAAAUGGAAUUUCCAGGAGGAGCUCUACUUUUGGUGUAUUUUUCAUCACCAUUUUGUAGCUAAUGCCUAAGUGCUGUACUACUGAGUUGUUCUGCUAGAACAUGUCCUAGCCCAUAUUCCUCUCUGCUCCAUAAAGGAAGGGAAACUCCACAGGUCAUAGGCCAGUAACCUAUUGAUUCAUGAUAUCAGACAGACUCUAUAGAGCAGGCAUUUUGCAAAAUCCUGCUGCCUUAGUCUAGCUGUUCAGCUCUCUGUUUCUUGUUGUGGAAAGUUUUCUCAUAUCUCAUGGGCCAGAUGAUCUGAUUUUUAUGUUAAUUUUCAGUUUCUUUUGAAGUAAAAGGUUUUCUGAAGUGGAAUUUUUCUGAGGAAAUAUGUUAAUGUACUGUGUCUCUGAAACCUCUUGUGGUGAGAUGGUAGGUAUAGACAGGACAGACUGACAAGGCCAUUUUUGUGGGGGCAAAGCACAGAGUCAAGCUUGCUUUCAAACAGAGGAUUGCUGGAUCCUUGUUUGCUCUCCUGCUGUUAGCUCUCUCUUAUUUAUAAGUCUGUGCUUUGUCCUCAUAUUUUGGGAGAGAAUUGUGAAAAAGGUGAUUCAUCCCUCAUGAUGCCUGACUCCCACUGACUCUCUGGAGCCUGGAUAGUUUGUAUACCCUGUACAAACUUGGGUGACUGCAUUAGUUUUGUGGCUUCCUGUGGUCAGCAUUUGAUCCUUCUGGGUCAUCUCUGAUUCCCUUGACUGUAGAAAUACUGACAUGCCUAGGCAUUGUGGCAUGUGUUCUCUAAUGGCCUUGGCAAAAGACACUAGUAAGCUUGGCUUACCUGUUUUGACUCUCUCAUGCUCCUCAUCUCAAAGUGAAUUGAGAAUUGUCAGUUUUUCUGUCAGCUUCUCCUCAGUGCUAGAGCCAUUUCAAGAUAAUAGUGCGACCACUCAGGCCAUGCCAUCUGCAAGAUGUUGAAUUUCUUGCUUGGGUUUGUUUAGUCAGCUAUGCAUUAUCCUACUUGCAGGACACAGAUGAGGUCACCACUGAGCUGUCAGGAAUGAAUUUAGGUUAGGGAUUUGGAGAAAACAGCAGUCUAUGCUUGUGCCACCUGAAGGAUUUCACACCAACUCUGUGUUUUUCACACUGCUUGUGCCUCAGGAUUAGCAUGAGCUUCAAGAGUCAAUGGGCAGAGUGUUUUCUUCAGGAAACAGCUAUUUGUGCUGUGGAAUUUUUGCUGGCUUCUGGAUUGCCAGAUGAAAUGUGAUGCAUGAUGUCCUAAAUGGGUUGACUCCUGGUUACAUGGAGAAGAGGAACUGAUACUGCUGGCUACAAGACUGUCUGAAGUAUCUGGGCUAAUAAAUCACAAGACAGGUGCCAGAAAAGGAUCUAGGGCUUUCCUUGGAAAUUAAUUUCUGAUGAAAUGUUUUUCCCCUAUCAGGCUGGUACUCUAAUGGAUUGACUUUCAUAUUUUGUGUCUAUACUUGUUUUCCUGAGUCCUUAAAAGUGCAAAUGCCUGUGUGUAUGCAUUUGUCCAAAGUUUCCUAAUGCUCUGAACAGUGGGGACUUGGACAUACUGCCUUCUGUGGAAAGCUGGUUCUUGUAAUAAGUUCAAAAAUUGUAUUCUGUAACUACUUAACAUUCUCCAAUAUUUAAUAGGAGGAUCCUGUUACCCUCCACAGGCUGUGAGCUUAGAAAACUGAGAACUAAAUAGAGACCAGGAAUUGUCCCAGUACUGACCUUCUGACUACCCAUUUCUUGCUCACUGCCCCAAAUUACUUCUUUUCUAUAGCAGAACAAUGUGAUGAUCUUACUUUCUCUCUAUGUUUCUGUAAGGGCAAAAAUUUUACCAGGAUAUUUUAAAUUAGCUCUUAAUAAAGCCUUUCUGAUUUAUUGCAGACUCUUCUGGAAAGUUAAGCCUCACAUAAAAUCCUGUAGCAGUGAUUUGGAAAUUUAAUUAUGUUUUUGCUUCACAGGUUAUGAAAAAAAAAUUCAUUGUGAGGGAGGAGAAGAAAGCUGAACUUUUGAAUCAGUCUCUUGCACUGAGGAAGGCUAGCUAGAGCUAGGUUCAUGAAUAAAACUUGUUUUUAUGGAACAACGUUUCUAAGCAAAGGAAAAGACAAACCGUAACUGAAAUCUAGCAUUCAAGGAAACUCUUGAGGCCAACAUCAGCAAAACAUUUGGUUUAUUACCACAGCCUGGGAACAGUUAUACUGAUGUAAAAUAACUGAGCCAAAGGAAUAUUACCAUUUAUUACCUCUGUUAUGACUGCUAAGUGUUGGUGCACAUGAUUGUCCAUUCUGGGUGGUGAUGAGGAUGCACAGGCAGGACAUUACCACCAUCUCUAGCCAAACCCAUGAAAAUCCCUCACCACAGAGUAUUCACAUGGAGGAGUUGCUGAUGCUGCUUUCAGAAGGAAGAAUGAGUGUCAGGGCCUUGAUGUGUCCCUUUAAGAGCAGAUCUUUGCCCUUUUCACCCCUUCUAUGCCAUUCAGCUAGUGCCUUUUAAAUGCUUUAUUCUAGCUUUAUAUAUUUACCUACGGCCACACAUCAAAAUCAAUACCUUCUCUUUAGAAUUCAUUUGAUGCAUUACAGUACUGGAGAGAAUUUCCAGUGGGAACACUAGGAAAUUGGAGAUUACUUAUCAAGUAAAUAUAUGAGGUCUGGUGCCAGAAGGCUGUUCUGGUAUCGUAAGUACAAUUUAAUAAUUUUUUGUUUUUGUGUAUGUCAAAAUCAUAACUGAAUGCUUCUUGCUUGUGAUUCUAAAGAAAUUUGACUGAGAUGCUUUUUUCUUUCUUUUCUCUCAGCAGCAGCUUCUAGAGUCUUUCCAUUCUGGUUGUGGAAAAACCUGGUGUAAUGAAGCUGCACAAGACCAAAUGCAUCCCCUGUCUUGGUCCCCUGGGUCAUCAGAGCUCUUCUUUGCUUUGUUCCUCCUGAUGCUUAAUCCAACCUGCUGUGCGAAGGAGGCUGCUCUAAUUGUGUUUGCUCCCUACACAAAUUUUUGUGGAAAACUCCAUGGAGAUAUUCAAACUAACUGCAGAGUAGCAGGUGUAAAUUAGCUUCUAUGAAUCUCUCUGCUGCAUAUGCUUCAGGGAUUUCAGGAUCUGGGCUGACUCUUUUUAUACUCCAUGCUAUGAUGACAUUGGAAGCCCACCAGUUUUCAAUCUCCACAUUGCUAGUCAAGGCCUUUCCUGCUUCUCACACCACUCCACCAGCGAGGAGGCUGGGGGUGCACAAGGAUUUGGGAAGGCACACAGCCAGGACAGCUGACCCCAACUGACCAAAGGGAUAUUCCAGACCAUACAGCAUUGUGCUCAACACAUGAAGCUGGGGGAAGAAGAAGGAAGGGCUGGAUGACAUUUGCCUUCCCAAGUCACUGUUAUACAAGAUGGAGCCCUCCUUUCCUGGGGACGGCUGGACACCUGCCCAUGGGAGGUGAAGUAAUUACUUGUAUUGUUUUGCUUGUAUGCACAUGGCUUUUGCUUUCCCUAUUAAACUGUCUUUAUCUCAACCCACUUUUACCCUUCUGAUUCUCUCCCCCAUCCCAUUGUGGGGGAUUGAGUGAGUGGCUCUAUCUGUCUGAGUUGCCAGCUGGUGUUGAACCAUGACAGUCUUAGAUCCAAAAAGAUAUUUAAUCUAAGAAUUGGGAGGACAAGCCACAGGAUCCAAAAAAAUUAUGUAUGAGUUUUAUAUAGUCCAGUUUUCAGAAGAAUAUAAUUUUACAUCUUGACAGUUUGAGAUUUUUAAUCUCCGCCAAAAAUCCUUGCUUCAGUAUUGUAUCUAUUUGUACUUUUUGAAUGGUCCCUGUUGAUAUUUCACAUUGGUAGAAAACUGGUCUUAUAGAAAGUAGAAGCAUCUGGAUAUGAAACACUAUUAAAUAUACAGUACCACAGAAGAUGGGUGCGCUCCACUUAUUUUUAGUGCUGCUCCAUUUCAUUUGAGACCAUGUACUUAGCUGAGUCUGGAAAUCUGUUUUCUGGGGACUGCACAAGCACAAGACUUCUGUUCUGAAUGGCUGCUAGAUUGCAAUCUUUCUGUCUAAACAAAAAGUUGGAGAUAAACAGGGAGGGAAAGGACCAGUUUCGGAGAUGUGCAGGGCUGAUCCGUACUAUGGUGAUUUGCCAACUUGGCCAUGCUGCUUCCUCAAACUGUUCAGGGAGCAGGGCAAUUACCAACCUCUGCUAGAGUACAUGCACUGCAGCUGGAUGCAGAAGUGCAACAAGUCAGGCAGCAGGCAGGACACAGGGAGAAAACAUCGGUGCUUAAUUUGAACUGACAGCAUUUGAUGCUACACAUCAGGAGCUGUAAAGGGACAGGAGGCAUUUCUCUUUAGCCGGACUGCUGAUGUCAACUUGGAUAGCAGAUGUUCCAGCUAGAUUACAGAGGCAGGAUAGAAAAGGUCUCAGUUUCUCACAGGAUCUACCUGCUAAUUCUACUGUUUUCCUCUAGCCUCCUCAGCUUUCUUUUAGGUUAUGCUGAGACCUCUGUCAUUUCCAUACAGAAAAAGUGAAAAUAUGUGGUCCUAGUUGGGCAUCACAUUUCCUACUGAGGGGCAGGAUUGGCAAGAAAUGGUGAUUAAAUAUUUGCACUUUCUCACUUUCCAUUUAUUUCAGGAAUCAGCCCACACCUGCACACAUGAAUAUAUUGAAAGCUGAAGCUGAAUGUGCAGUAGUUAAGCUUCAUGCCAUCCUUUAGCUGUGCUUUGUGCAGUCAGAUUAUACUCAAUGGUAUGAUACAGAAGCAUUCUGUGGGGAAUGCAGCAGUGGCAAUCCCAUCAAAUCAUUGGCAGGAAUGUGUAGUCUGCAGCCCUGCAUAAAUCCUGGGUCCCCAGGAAUCUAAAUCUGACCUGUACAGCAUAAGGAAUUGCUACACUUGAGAUAAACUGAAGCAAUUGGAGAAGGCUCAAGUGUUGACCUUCCUCUGCUUUAGACCCCUGCUGCCCCAACUCAACGAAUUUUAUCCUGAGCCUGCCAAUUGAUACAUAUUCCUACUGCUUACUGAAAGAGACAAUGCCCUGGCUAUUAAAUCUCUGAUGAUACUUGCUGAUGGUUUGAUGUUGUUGGUGCAGCUGUUAAGCAAAAUGUGUAAUUUUUACUUUCUAUUUACUUUGUUCUCUAGGAAGUUGUUUUAGCAUGUUUGAAUUGCUUUUGUAUCAUGCGUUGAAUAAUCUCUGUACACUACUAUUACUCCACCACAGCCUGGAGAAAAACCUGGGUUUGGAGUGCCAAGUAGAAGGCACUAUAUGUGCAUAUUAUCUGCUUCUCUGCAGAGCUUUGUUCUUGCAAACUUGCUCUUACAAAACACAGCACGGAGAAUGACAGGAGAAAGUGAGACUGGGAAUUCAGAGCUGUGGAAGUUACCAGUUAGCUGAGGGUUUGUUCUUGUUCUUGGUGUCUUGGAAGGCUGUUGGUUUGGUUUUUUGUUUUAAUCCGUGAAGACUGUAGUAAACGAGUUAAGAGGCAGUUCCUUUGUUUCCGCUCUG
This is a long non-coding RNA of Parus major (Great Tit), 16620 nucleotides long. RefSeq lists it as uncharacterized. Lineage: Eukaryota; Metazoa; Chordata; Aves; Passeriformes; Paridae. The record is from RefSeq and is a predicted model, not a curated record. The transcript is spliced from 3 exons.